Molecule: small nucleolar RNA, 130 nt
Organism: Hemicordylus capensis (graceful crag lizard)
Lineage: Eukaryota; Metazoa; Chordata; Lepidosauria; Squamata; Cordylidae
Product: small nucleolar RNA SNORA13
Exons: 1
Source: RefSeq, a predicted model, not a curated record
GCCCUUUGUGUUACCCAUUCAUUAUUUUCUCCAGCGAAUGUGAUGUCAGAAAAGGCAUAUAAUAACUCUAGCUGACCUGUAUUCGAGAGCUAGUGAUUAGGCCUUUCUUGGUCCUUCAGCUAGAACAUGC